GUUGGUAAAUUUCGUGCCAGCCACCGCGGUCAUACGAUUAACCCAAGUUAAUAGGCCUACGGCGUAAAGCGUGUUUAAACACUACACCAAAUAAAGUUAAAUUUUAAUUAAGCUGUAAAAAGCCAUAAUCACAAUGAAAAUAAAUAACGAAAGUAACUUUACAACCGCUGAAACACGAUAGCUAAGAYCCAAACUGGGAUUAGAUACCCCACUAUGCUUAGCCCUAAACACAAGUAGUUAUAUAAACAAAACUAUUCGCCAGAGUACUACCGGCAAUAGCUUAAAACUCAA
RNAcentral lists this ribosomal RNA (291 nucleotides) under Rangifer tarandus (reindeer). RNAcentral's name for it is "partial 12S ribosomal RNA". It matches the Rfam family "Bacterial small subunit ribosomal RNA", at positions 492 to 904 of the family's 1533-position model. The record is from RNAcentral. Lineage: Eukaryota; Metazoa; Chordata; Mammalia; Artiodactyla; Cervidae.